This 1856-nucleotide long non-coding RNA is filed under the name Nicotiana tabacum (common tobacco). RNAcentral's name for it is "long non-coding RNA (NTAB_LNC004010)". Lineage: Eukaryota; Viridiplantae; Streptophyta; Magnoliopsida; Solanales; Solanaceae. The record is from RNAcentral.
UUCCAAAAAAAGAAAUUAAAGGUAAGAAUAAAGGUUUCUCAACCAAAUAACCUAUCUUAUGCUCAUUGAUCAAAGACAGACAAAGAUGUGAUAAAAGAAUUCUUACCGCGCCAGGCCCAGAAGCGUGAAUGUUACCAAACCAAAACCAAUAGUGCACCUUUUCCUAAGGCUCCCUGUCAAACACAGGAAGUGAAGUAGAUUUGGCAUAACCCUUUAUCUCUUGGCCAGGAAAGCUCCUCAUUUUCGGAGGUUGCAUUACUUCAUAAUAAGCCAGUUUCUCAAAGCACAUUAAAUUAAGACCCAACAAUUCCUAUUUUGCUACUGAGCAUCACAAUUCGCAAUAUUAAAAUCGCGCAGGAUCCACCAGCUCUCACAGUUCGAGACAUUGUCAUUCUUCUUGAAUUUGUGAUUUAGGAUAAGUAUCUCAAGUUGUGCUUGCACUGAAAUUGUUGGCAUCCCUAUGAAUCAUCUAUCCUAAACACCAGAAAGCAAUCUUAGUAUGAAAUCAUUUGUCCUAAAUACCAGAAAGUGCUCUUACAUAAAAAUAUAGUAAACUUUCAUUAUUAUAUUUAUCUCAUCAUGCUUCAAUAGCACAUAGAGGAAGGGUAGAGAGCCCGAGUAUUCUGGAAUGCUAUAUCUAAUCCAUUUGGACCCCUGUAUCAAUUCUGUAAAUCUAGGCUAGCCUAUUUCUCUUUUUAGAUCUUAAUGGCAUAAUUACUUUUGAAAAGGAAAUAAACAGUGAGAAUAUCCUACACUUCCACUUGCAAGAUCUUAUGCACUCAACCAAGGCACAGUCGUAGAUGUAUCCUAUACUUCAACUUGCAGAAAAUAUAAUCAGACCAAAAAAGGAAUUUGAUACUUUCACAGAGAACAAGCAUUCAGCAUGCGGAAAUAGUGUAAAUCUUAUGUCGGGCAUUCUUCCUACUUUUUCAAGAGUCUAUGUUUGAUUUAUGCUCAAAGCAAUAUAAACACAUACUCUAAACUACGAGAGUCAGAGAUAAAUGUAAUUAGCAUUUUCCAUUCCUACUAUAUGACUCCUAUCUGCAUUAGAAGAGAUAUUCACUUUGUUGAAAAUAAAAGCAGAAUAUUUCAAAUGCUAGGUCAAUCAGAUAAAUAAAUUGAUAAAGUCUAUUAAAAUGAAUGACAAUAUAAGCUUACCUUAUAAAAUACAGCUCCAAACACCUGGGCUCUAAGAAACUAAAAUUGAACCUGCAAAAGCCUUCAGCUACAAAAAUAGAGAUUUGUAAUCUGCCAAAGUAUCAUGAGCAAAGAUAGAAGUAGCUCUAAUUUACCUCAACGCGGGGAAGCAGCAGCUACUGCUAAAGUGCAACAGGAACAAACUAAUUUGAAACCUCACUGGUUAGGAAAUGUCAAUUUUUUGGGUUAAUCCUAGUUCUGUCAUCCAACUCUGUACGCAAGCACGUAAGUACAAAAGUUCAACUAAAAAUUUUCCAUUAAAACUUUGAAGGUGACAUAGUAAUUAUCUACCUUAGUAACUCAAAUUUAUAAAGAUUUAUUAUUUUCAAUGCCAAUCCAUGUACGAUUAAGAAAGCAGUACCUCUCAAUACCUGUUCUCCUCAGUUUGAUGAUGGAGAUAUAUGAGUUGACUUCUACAUUUUUAAAUGAGCAUGAUAGACACGUAUAAGCAUAGUCAAUGAUCAAAUGUGAUAUUAAUGGUCAUUCUAUCAAGUAGAGAUGCUUAAAUGGAAAACACAAGAGUUUAUAUACCGGCUUUAACAUUCGGUGCAAGUUUAGGGGACACUUAGACCAUUUUGUCUAAAAUUAUAAACAAAAAGUUUUAAUGCAUUUAUUUAUAAUGAUAAUUAAAAAUGAGGAUAAAUAUUUUUGUUGAAAAU